AACGAACGCUGGCGGCAGGCCUAACACAUGCAAGUCGAACGAAGUCUUCGGACUUAGUGGCGCACGGGUGAGUAACACGUGGGAAUAUACCUUACGCUGGGGGAUAACAUCGGGAAACUGAUGCUAAUACCGCAUACGCCCUUCGGGGGAAAGAUUUAUCGGCGAAAGAUUAGCCCGCGUCCGAUUAGCUAGUUGGUGAGGUAAUGGCUCACCAAGGCUCGGAUCGGUAGCUGGUCUGAGAGGAUGACCAGCCACACUGGGAAUGAGACACGGCCCAGAACCCGACGGGAGGGGGCAGUAGGGAAUAUUGGACGAUGGGGGCAAGCGUAGUCCAGCCGUGCGGGGGGAGUGAGGAAGGGGUUAGGGUUGUAAAGCUCUUUGAGCCACGACGAUGAUGACGGUAGUGGGAAAAGAAGCCCCGGCUAACUUCGUG
RNAcentral lists this ribosomal RNA (433 nucleotides) under uncultured bacterium. RNAcentral's name for it is "partial 16S ribosomal RNA". It matches the Rfam family "Bacterial small subunit ribosomal RNA", at positions 29 to 507 of the family's 1533-position model. The record is from RNAcentral.